UGCUCAAUGAAUAUUAAAUAGCCGCAGUAUUUUGACUGUGCAAAGGUAGCAUAAUAAUUAGUUUCUUAAUUAGAAACUGGAAUGAAUGAUUGGACAAGAAAAUUACUGUUUCAUUUUUAAAUUUAUUGAAUUUUAUUUUUAAGUGAAAAAGCUUAAAUGUGUAUAAAAGACGAGAAGACCCUAUAGAGUUUAAUAUAUUUUACUAAUAAAUUGAUAGAAUUAAUAUUUAGUAGAAUUUAUUUAGUUGGGGUGAUUGAAAGAUUUAAGAAAUUCUUUUACUUAAAAAUUGUUAGUUUACAAAUUUUUUAUCUAAAGUUUAUAAAUAUAAAAUAAAUUACCUUAGGGAUAACAGCGUAAUUUUUCUUUAAAGUUCUUAUUAUAAGAAAAGUUUGCGACCUCGAUGUUGGAUUAAAAUUAAUUUUUGGUGCAGUAACUGAAAAAUUAGGUCUGUUCGACCUUUAAAAUUUUACAUGAUCUGAGUUUAAACCGGUGUGAGCCAGGUUGGAUUCUAUCUUUAUGAAGUUAAAUAUAUUUUAGUACGAAAGGACCAAGUAUAUAUUAAAUUAAUUG
This 570-nucleotide ribosomal RNA is filed under the name Cautires sp. UPOL A00078. Its description in RNAcentral is "partial 16S ribosomal RNA". It matches the Rfam family "Archaeal large subunit ribosomal RNA", at positions 1952 to 2784 of the family's 2987-position model. The record is from RNAcentral. Lineage: Eukaryota; Metazoa; Arthropoda; Insecta; Coleoptera; Lycidae.